UAUCUCAGUCGGUAAAGAAUCUGCCUGCAAUGCAGGAGACCCUGGUUAGAUUCCUGG
This 57-nucleotide transfer RNA is filed under the name Ovis aries (sheep). It matches the Rfam family "tRNA", at positions 8 to 63 of the family's 71-position model. From Rfam's summary of the family: Transfer RNA (tRNA) molecules are approximately 80 nucleotides in length. Lineage: Eukaryota; Metazoa; Chordata; Mammalia; Artiodactyla; Bovidae. The record is from Rfam by way of RNAcentral.